Molecule: ribosomal RNA, 495 nt
Filed under: uncultured bacterium
Lineage: Bacteria
Description: partial 16S ribosomal RNA
Rfam family: Bacterial small subunit ribosomal RNA
Source: RNAcentral
GAUGAACGCUGGCGGCGUGCCUAAUACAUGCAAGUCGAGCGAACAGACGAGGAGCUUGCUCCUCUGACGUUAGCGGCGGACGGGUGAGUAACACGUGGAUAACCUACCUAUAAGACUGGGAUAACUUCGGGAAACCGGAGCUAAUACCGGAUAAUAUAUUGAACCGCAUGGUUCAAUAGUGAAAGACGGUUUUGCUGUCACUUAUAGAUGGAUCCGCGCCGCAUUAGCUAGUUGGUAAGGUAACGGCUUACCAAGGCAACGAUGCGUAGCCGACCUGAGAGGGUGAUCGGCCACACUGGAACUGAGACACGGUCCAGACUCCUACGGGAGGCAGCAGUAGGGAAUCUUCCGCAAGGGGCGAAAGCCUGACGGAGCAACGCCGCGUGAGUGAUGAAGGUCUUCGGAUCGUAAAACUCUGUUAUUAGGAAAGAACAAAUGUGCAAGUAACUAUGCACGUCUUGACGGUACCUAAUCAGAAAGCCACGGCUAACUACG